Molecule: non-coding RNA, 89 nt
Filed under: Chromobacterium sp. LK11
Lineage: Bacteria; Pseudomonadati; Pseudomonadota; Betaproteobacteria; Neisseriales; Chromobacteriaceae
Source: RNAcentral
CUCUUGGGCGGGUCAUGGUGGGAGCGUGCUUGCACGCGCCGGAUCCUUCUUGCCGGUAACGCUAAUCCUGCCAUGUUCCCGCCGCCUCC